Molecule: small RNA, 125 nt
Filed under: Marmota monax (woodchuck)
Lineage: Eukaryota; Metazoa; Chordata; Mammalia; Rodentia; Sciuridae
Source: RNAcentral
GCAGGGUGUGGUGGCACACACCUGUAAUCCCAGUGGCUUGGGAAGCUGAGGCAGGAGGAUGGUGAGUUUAAAGCCAGCCUCAGUAAAAGCGAGGCAUUAAGCAACUCAGUGAGACCCUAUCUCUA